UUAAAAACUGAGAAAAAGAGGAGUAUGCAAACUCAACUUACAGAGAGGAAAGUUCACCGGCUGAAAGACUUUCUAAGAAAUGAAUUGCAGAAGGUAGCUUUGGAGUUUCUAAGCUGAAAAUAACAGUAAGCUUAGACGGUGAGAAUCGUUAAAUUUAUUAAGUGUUAUGUAGAGUUUGAUUAAAAACUUUAUAUAAAAUUAAGGUGGUAACGCGAGCUUUUCGUCCUUAAA
Molecule: non-coding RNA, 231 nt
Filed under: Clostridium sp.
Lineage: Bacteria; Bacillati; Bacillota; Clostridia; Eubacteriales; Clostridiaceae
Description: T-box sequence
Rfam family: T-box leader
About the family: Uncharged tRNA acts as the effector for transcription antitermination of genes in the T-box leader family. T-boxes are found upstream of many aminoacyl-tRNA synthetase genes and some amino acid biosynthetic genes usually in Gram-positive bacteria.
Source: RNAcentral